RNAcentral lists this ribosomal RNA (430 nucleotides) under uncultured bacterium. Its description in RNAcentral is "bacterial SSU rRNA". It matches the Rfam family "Bacterial small subunit ribosomal RNA", at positions 354 to 796 of the family's 1533-position model. The record is from RNAcentral.
GUGGGGAAUAUUGCACAAUGGGCGAAAGCCUGAUGCAGCAACGCCGCGUGAGGGAUGACGGCCUUCGGGUUGUAAACCUCUUUCGACACCGACGAAGCGAGAGUGACGGUAGGUGUAGAAGAAGCGCCGGCUAACUACGUGCCAGCAGCCGCGGUAACACGUAGGGCGCGAGCGUUGUCCGGAAUUAUUGGGCGUAAAGAGCUCGUAGGCGGUUUGUCGCGUCGAUCGUGAAAACUGGAGGCUUAACUUUCAGCGUGCGGUCGAUACGGGCAGACUUGAGUGUGGCAGGGGAGACUGGAAUUCCUGGUGUAGCGGUGAAAUGCGCAGAUAUCAGGAGGAACACCGGUGGCGAAGGCGGGUCUCUGGGCCGAUACUGACGCUGAGGAGCGAAAGCGUGGGGAGCGAACAGGAUUAGAAACCCGAGUAGUCC